GGCGGACGGGUGAGUAACGCGUGGGAACGUGCCCUUCUCUAUGGAAUAGCCACUGGAAACGGUGAGUAAUACCAUAUACGCCCUUCGGGGGAAAGAUUUAUCGGAGAAGGAUCGGCCCGCGUUAGAUUAGGUAGUUGGUGGGGUAAUGGCCUACCAAGCCUACGAUCUAUAGCUGGUUUUAGAGGAUGAUCAGCCACACUGGGACUGAGACACGGCCCAGACUCCUACGGGAGGCAGCAGUGGGGAAUCUUAGACAAUGGGCGCAAGCCUGAUCUAGCCAUGCCGCGUGAGUGAUGAAGGCCUUAGGGUCGUAAAGCUCUUUCGCCAGAGAUGAUAAUGACAGUAUCUGGUAAAGAAACCCCGGCUAACUCCGUGCCAGCAGCCGCGGUAAUACGGAGGGGGUUAGCGUUGUUCGGAAUUGCUGGGCGUAAAGCGCACGUAGGCGGAUUAGAAAGUUAGGGGUGAAAUCCCGGGGCUCAACCUCGGAACUGCCUCUAAAACUCCUAGUCUAGAGUUCGAGAGAGGUGAGUGGAAUUCCAAGUGUAGAGGUGAAAUUCGUAGAUAUUUGGAGGAACACCAGUGGCGAAGGCGGCUCACUGGCUCGAUACUGACGCUGAGGUGCGAAAGUGUGGGGAGCAAACAGGAUUAGAUACCCUGGUAGUCCACACCGU
RNAcentral lists this ribosomal RNA (671 nucleotides) under uncultured Phaeobacter sp. RNAcentral's name for it is "bacterial SSU rRNA". It matches the Rfam family "Bacterial small subunit ribosomal RNA", at positions 97 to 803 of the family's 1533-position model. The record is from RNAcentral. Lineage: Bacteria; Pseudomonadati; Pseudomonadota; Alphaproteobacteria; Rhodobacterales; Roseobacteraceae.